This 425-nucleotide ribosomal RNA is filed under the name uncultured bacterium. RNAcentral describes it as "partial 16S ribosomal RNA". It matches the Rfam family "Bacterial small subunit ribosomal RNA", at positions 354 to 796 of the family's 1533-position model. The record is from RNAcentral.
GUGGGGAAUCUUGCGCAAUGGGCGAAAGCCUGACGCAGUCAUGCCGCGUGAAUGAUGAAGGUCUUAGGAUUGUAAAAUUCUUUCACCGGGGACGAUAAUGACGGUACCCGGAGAAGAAGCUCCGGCUAACUUCGUGCCAGCAGCCGCGGUAAUACGAAGGGGGCUAGCGUUGCUCGGAAUUACUGGGCGUAAAGGGCGCGUAGGCGGACAGCUUAGUCAGAGGUGAAAGCCCAGGGCUCAACCUUGGAAUUGCCUUUGAUACUGGCUGUCUUGAGUUUGGGAGAGGUGAGUGGAACUCCGAGUGUAGAGGUGAAAUUCGUAGAUAUUCGGAAGAACACCAGUGGCGAAGGCGACUCACUGGCCCAAUACUGACGCUGAGGCGCGAAAGCGUGGGGAGCAAACAGGAUUAGAAACCCGGGUAGUCC